This 1308-nucleotide long non-coding RNA is filed under the name Astyanax mexicanus (Mexican tetra). RNAcentral's name for it is "lncRNA (ENSAMXG00005001766.1)". Lineage: Eukaryota; Metazoa; Chordata; Actinopteri; Characiformes; Acestrorhamphidae. The record is from RNAcentral.
GAUCUUACUGAUGUGGUGAAAGUUGCUACUCAGCGAACCCAGGAUUAUGUGGAAUAUCACUCCCAGUUGCACCUCACUGAUGAGAAGCCACCAGUCCUUGAACCUUAUACGCCAUCUUUGUUGCCUCAUAUUAACCCUAUUGCACCAUCAAACAAAAGCUACAACACGAACCAACCCAUCAUACAGGGACACAGUAGAGCCACUUAUUGUGGUAAGGAAGAGGUUUGCAUAGAGCAGCAACUUGAGUGCUCAAUGCCGGUACCCAAUCAACAACCCAAAAGGGGCAGCAAUGAUCCUUUGGCACAGGAGAAUAGAAGACCUGCUCUAGGAGUUAAUCGCCCUUACCCUACUUCGUCACCUGGCUUCUUAACCAACAGAAACACAUCACAGAUGCCUGCUGAUGACAGAAUAGGGAUGGGUGACAUAACGAGGUAUUUGAUGCGGCGUGAGCUUGUGCACUCUGGUCUUACUAAGUUCAAUGACCAGCCUGAAAGUUACUGGGCGUGGAAGUCCUCUUUUCACAACGCAACUGAAGGGCUGCACUUAACUGCCAGUGAGGAGCUUGACCUCUUAAUAAAGUGGUUAGGGAACCAGUCUUCAGAUCAUGUCGUGAGGAUCCGUGCUGUGUAUUCCACCGACCCUACAGUAGGUGUACAGAAAGCUUGGGAACGCUUGGAGGAGUGUUACGGCUCUCCUGAGGUAAUAGAAAAGGCUCUCCUUGAGAGGGUGGAGAACUUUCCUAACAUCAGUCAGAAGGAUCCCGUGAAACUGAGAGAACUGGGAGAUUUGCUGAAAGAGCUAGAGGCUGCCAAAAGUCAAGGUUACCUGCCUGGACUUUCUUAUCUGGACACUGCCAGGGGUGUAAACCCAAUCGUCGAAAAAAUGCCAUUUGGGCUGCAAGAAAAAUGGCUAGCUCAGGGCUCUCUGUACAAGGAGCAGUAUCAUGUCUCAUUCCCCCCUUUUGCCUUUUUCACAGACUUUGUUUGCAAUGAAGCACGCAGGCGAAACGACCCUAGCUUUGUUCUUUCAACAGCCCCUAGAGGUCAAUCAAGCAGCCUCUAUAGGUCCGUAACAAGUCAGUCUAGGUCCAUGUAUUCAGACAAGAGACCAGGAAAUGGUAAAGGGAAUGUUUUCAUUCACAAAACAGAUGUGUCAUCACAUCACCUGGCUCAUCAGUCAGACAGGUCAACAGUCAUGCUGGAUGACAUUGCAAAACAAUGCCCAAUCCACAAGAAACCCCAUCCUUUGAAAAAAUGCAGAGGCUUUCGAAGUAAACCACUUGAGGAGCGCAAGUCAUUUCUAAAGGAG